AACUUAAGCAUAUCAAUAAGCGGAGGAAAAGAAACCAACAGGGAUUACCUCAGUAACGGCGAGUGAAGCGGUAACAGCUCAAAUUUGAAAUCUGGCUCUUUCAGGGUCCGAAUUGUAAUUUGUAGAAGAUGCUUCGAGUGUAGCUCCGGUCUAAGUUCCUUGGAACAGGACGUCAUAGAGGGUGAGAAUCCCGUAUGUGACUGGUGGCUUUCGCUCAUGUGAAGCUCUUUCGACGAGUCGAGUUGUUUGGGAAUGCAGCUCAAAAUGGGUGGUAUAUUUCAUCUAAAGCUAAAUAUUGGCCAGAGACCGAUAGCGCACAAGUAGAGUGAUCGAAAGAUGAAAAGCACUUUGGAAAGAGAGUUAAACAGUACGUGAAAUUGUUGAAAGGGAAGCGCUUGCAACCAGACUUGCAUGCUGUUAAUCAUCAGGAGUUCUCUCCUGUGCACUUGGCAGUGUUCAGGCCAGCAUCGAUUUUGGUGGUUGGAUAAAGACCUUAGGAAUGUGGCAUCUUUCGGGGUGUGUUAUAGCCUUCGGUGCAAUGCAGCCAACUGGGAUCGAGGACCGCGCUUCGGCUAGGAUGCUGGCGUAAUGGUUGUAAGCGACCCGUCUUGAAACACGGACCAAGGAGUCUAACAUCUAUGCGAGUGUUUGGGUGUUAAACCCAUACGCGGAAUGAAAGUGAACGGAGGUAAGAACCCUUAAGGGUGCAUUAUCGACCGAUCCUGAUGUCUUCGGAUGGAUUUGAGUAAGAGCAUAGCUGUUGGGACCCGAAAGAUGGUGAACUAUGCGUGAAUAGGGUGAAGCCAGAGGAAACUCUGGUGGAGGCUCGCAGCGGUUCUGACGUGCAAAUCGAUCGUCAAAUUUGCGCAUAGGGGCGAAAGACUAAUCGAACUAUCUAGUAGCUGGUUCCUGCCGAAGUUUCCCUAAGG
This 929-nucleotide ribosomal RNA is filed under the name Mitrula paludosa (swamp beacon). RNAcentral describes it as "eukaryotic LSU rRNA". It matches the Rfam family "Eukaryotic large subunit ribosomal RNA", at positions 31 to 977 of the family's 3401-position model. Lineage: Eukaryota; Fungi; Ascomycota; Leotiomycetes; Helotiales; Mitrulaceae. The record is from RNAcentral.